UACAGAGGUCUCAAGCGUUGUUCGGAUUCAUUGGGCGUAAAGAGCUCGUAGGCGGUUUGUCGCGUCUGCCGUGAAAGUCCGGGGCUCAACUCCGGAUCUGCGGUGGGUACGGGCAGACUAGAGUGAUGUAGGGGAGACUGGAAUUCCUGGUGUAGCGGUGAAAUGCGCAGAUAUCAGGAGGAACACCGGUGGCGAAGGCGGGUCUCUGGGCCGAUACUGACGCUGAGGAGCGAAAGCGUGGGGAGCGAACAGG
RNAcentral lists this ribosomal RNA (253 nucleotides) under uncultured bacterium. Its description in RNAcentral is "partial 16S ribosomal RNA". It matches the Rfam family "Bacterial small subunit ribosomal RNA", at positions 524 to 776 of the family's 1533-position model. The record is from RNAcentral.